GAUGAACGCUGGCGGCGUGCCUAAUACAUGCAAGUCGAGCGAACGGACGAGAAGCUUGCUUCUCUGCUGUUAGCGGCGGACGGGUGAGUAACACGUGGAUAACCUACCUAUAAGACUGGGAUAACUUCGGGAACCCGGAGCUAAUACCGGAUAAUAUUUUGAACCGCAUGGUUCAAAAGUGAAAGACGGUCUUGCUGACACUUAUAGAUGGUUCCGCGCUGCAUUAGCUAGUUGGUAAGGUAACGGCUUACCAAGGCAACGAUGCAUAGCCGACCUGAGAGGGUGAUCGGCCACACUGGAACUGAGACACGGUCCAGACUCCUACGGGAGGCAGCAGUAGGGAAUCUUCCGCAAUGGGCGAAAGCCUGACGGAGCAACGCCGCGUGAGUGAUGAAGGUCUUCGGAUCGUAAAACUCUGUUAUUAGGGAAGAACAUAUGUGUAAGUAACUGUGCACAUCUUGACGGUACCUAAUCAGAAAGCCACGGCUAACUACGUG
RNAcentral lists this ribosomal RNA (497 nucleotides) under uncultured bacterium. RNAcentral's name for it is "partial 16S ribosomal RNA". It matches the Rfam family "Bacterial small subunit ribosomal RNA", at positions 28 to 507 of the family's 1533-position model. The record is from RNAcentral.